Molecule: unclassified non-coding RNA, 334 nt
Filed under: soil metagenome
Description: partial contains 5.8S ribosomal RNA, internal transcribed spacer 2, and large subunit ribosomal RNA
Rfam family: 5.8S ribosomal RNA (bases 1-120)
Source: RNAcentral
GAUGAAGAACGUAGCGAAACGCGAUACGUAAUGUGAAUUGCAGAAUUCAGUGAAUCAUCGAAUCUUUGAACGCACACUGCGCCCCCCAGUAUUCUGGCGGGCAUGCCUGUUCGAGCGUCAUUUCAACCAUCAAGCCCUGCUUGUGUUGGGGUCCUGCGGCUGCCCGCAGGCCCUGAAAACCAGUGGCGGGCUCGCUAGUCACACCGAGCGCAGUAGCACAUCUCGCUCAGGGCGUGCGGCGGGCUCCAGCCGUUAAAGCACCCACCUUUCGCAAGGUUGACCUCGGAUCAGGUAGGAAUACCCGCUGAACUUAAGCAUAUCAAUAAGCGGAGGA